GAGCUCACAUGUCUGUGCUUUAAUUGCUGACUCUGCUGUUUGGAGUGGCCCCCAAGUACAGUGUGCAGGUCCGUGGGCAGUUCCCAAGUGCACGGGCUGCAACGUGCCUUACGGGGACAUACACGUGUUGGAUGAGCUUCAUUCAGCACAACUUACACUGCUGGGCUGUACGUUCCAUGCGAAUGAAUCAUCAAUAGCUACCAAAGAAGCUGUCUUUAAACUGAAAACACACGCAAGUCUCUGUAGUGACGGGUUGACCGAACUGUGGCAUCCUGAUGCUUGCAGGACCCCAACCCUGUGUUUCCCCAAGGGGUGACGACUCAGUCCACAAUAAAGCGAAAGCGGUGACUUCCAGAACCACCCACGAGACUCCGGACCUUCUCAGAGGGCAGCAGGCGAACAGAAACUCUGCCGCCAUGAAACACUAAGUCACCUCCCGCCGGCCCAGCCCCCAGCGGCCAGCAUUUACUUUCUGUCUAUGAAUUCCUCGCCUGCAGAGAAGUGGAGUCACCCGGGAUGUGUCCUCCUGGGACUGGCUGCGUCCAGAACCAGGUCAGCGCCCAGCUGUGUGAAGGGAGAACACAGAGUGACCGAGGCCCCAGCAGCUCAUGGCCACUCCGCCUCUUCUCCAUCGACGGAUGGACAACCAUCCACAGGACACCCAGGGCCCCUGAGUGUGUGUGUUAAGUCGGACCUCAUUCUUACAAAGGUUGCAGAUCAACGUCCGGACUUGCACUGGGGGACUGAGGCCCAGGGGGGCAGUGACUUCUCUCAAGCAGAGGCCUCUGUGGGCCCCAGGGAGCCGCGAGUCCAGCUCUCCAGUCUGGGUCUCGGGUUCUGGGGGAAACGCUCUGGGGAGAUGCUGACCCACUAGGAGCCCGUGAGGCAGCCCGGAUGGAGCCGGAGCUGGGGGCGGGGAGGGGCAGGUUCUGUCUGCUGCCGGGUCUGGGGGCCGCCAGCCGCUCCUUCUCCUCCUGUUUCCUAGGCGCCUGGGCCUGUGGCUCACUGACCCCAUGUGUAAACCC
This is a long non-coding RNA of Myotis brandtii (Brandt's bat), 1025 nucleotides long. RefSeq lists it as uncharacterized. The transcript is spliced from 3 exons. Lineage: Eukaryota; Metazoa; Chordata; Mammalia; Chiroptera; Vespertilionidae. The record is from RefSeq and is a predicted model, not a curated record.